This 253-nucleotide ribosomal RNA is filed under the name uncultured archaeon. Its description in RNAcentral is "partial 16S ribosomal RNA". It matches the Rfam family "Archaeal small subunit ribosomal RNA", at positions 474 to 727 of the family's 1478-position model. The record is from RNAcentral.
AACCAGCACCUCAAGUGGUCAGGAUGAUUAUUGGGCCUAAAGCAUCCGUAGCCGGCUCUGUUAGUUUUCGGUUAAAUCUAUGCGCUCAACGCAUGGGCUGCCGAAAAUACUGCAGAGCUAGGGAGUGGGUGAGGUAGACGGUACUCGGUAGGAAGGGGUAAAAUCCUUUGAUCUAUUGAUGACCACCUGUGGCGAAGGCGGUCUACCAGAACACGUUCGACGGUGAGGGAUGAAAGCUGGGGGAGCAAACCGG